RNAcentral lists this ribosomal RNA (468 nucleotides) under uncultured bacterium. RNAcentral describes it as "partial 16S ribosomal RNA". It matches the Rfam family "Bacterial small subunit ribosomal RNA", at positions 28 to 507 of the family's 1533-position model. The record is from RNAcentral.
GACGAACGCUGGCGGCGUGCUUAACACAUGCAAGUCGAACGGAAAGGCCCUGCUUUUGUGGGGUGCUCGAGUGGCGAACGGGUGAGUAACACGUGAGUAACCUGCCCUUGACUUUGGGAUAACUUCAGGAAACUGGGGCUAAUACCGGAUAGGAGCUCCUGCUGCAUGGUGGGGGUUGGAAAGUUUCGGCGGUUGGGGAUGGACUCGCGGGUUAUCAGCUUGUUGGUGGGGUAGUGGCUUACCAAGGCUUUGACGGGUAGCCGGCCUGAGAGGGUGACCGGCGACAUUGGGACUGAGAUACGGCCCAGACUCCUACGGGAGGCAGCAGUGGGGAAUAUGGCACAAUGGGCGGAAGCCUGAUGCAGCAACGCCGCGUGCGGGAUGACGGCCUUCGGGUUGUAAACCGCUUUCGCCUGUGACGAAGCGUGAGUGACGGUAAUGGGUAAAGAAGCACCGGCUAACUACGUG